GCCGGGUGUUGUGGCGGGCGCCUGUAAUCUCAGCUACUUAGGAGGCUGAGGCAGGAGAAUCACUUGAACCCGGGAGGCAGAGGUUGCAGUGAGCUGAGACUGCACCACUGCACUCCAGCCUGGGCGACAAAGUGAGACUCUGUCUCAA
This 148-nucleotide non-coding RNA is filed under the name Chlorocebus sabaeus (green monkey). Lineage: Eukaryota; Metazoa; Chordata; Mammalia; Primates; Cercopithecidae. The record is from Rfam by way of RNAcentral.